UACAGAGGUCUCAAGCGUUGUCCGGAAUCAUUGGGCGUAAAGAGCGUGUCGGCGGCCCGGUAAGUCCGCUGUAAAAGUCAAAGGCUCAACCUUUGAAUGUCAGUGGAUACUGCCGGGCUAGAGUCCGGAAGAGGCGAGUGGAACUCCUGGUGUAGCGGUGGAAUGCGCAGAUAUCAGGAAGAACACCAACGGCGAAGGCAGCUCGCUGGGACGGUACUGACGCUGAGACGCGAAAGCCAGGGGAGCGAACGGG
RNAcentral lists this ribosomal RNA (253 nucleotides) under uncultured bacterium. RNAcentral's name for it is "partial 16S ribosomal RNA". It matches the Rfam family "Bacterial small subunit ribosomal RNA", at positions 524 to 776 of the family's 1533-position model. The record is from RNAcentral.